UGAUGCCUACGGGGCGCAGCAGUGGGGAAUAUUGGACAAUGGGGGAAACCCUUAUCCAGCGACGCCGCGUGAGGGAAGAAGGUUUUCGGAUUGUAAACCUCUGUCAGUGGGGACGAUAAUGACGGUACCCACGGAGGAAGCCACGGCUAACUACGUGCCAGCAGCCGCGGUAAUACGUAGGUGGCAAGCGUUGUCCGGAAUUACUGGGUGUAAUGGUAGCGUAGGCGGGAUGUCAAGUCAGAAGUGAAAUUUAUGGGCUCAACUCAUAACCUGCUUUUGAAACUGUUAUUCUUGAUUGUAUUAUA
This 305-nucleotide ribosomal RNA is filed under the name uncultured bacterium. RNAcentral's name for it is "bacterial SSU rRNA". It matches the Rfam family "Bacterial small subunit ribosomal RNA", at positions 333 to 655 of the family's 1533-position model. The record is from RNAcentral.